Molecule: long non-coding RNA, 1474 nt
Organism: Aedes albopictus (Asian tiger mosquito)
Lineage: Eukaryota; Metazoa; Arthropoda; Insecta; Diptera; Culicidae
Exons: 2
Source: RefSeq, a predicted model, not a curated record
CUAGAGCAACAUUUGAAAAGGGCGGAAGAGCCAAAAUGUAAACAAAUCACUUUUCAGCAUAAUUUGAUGAAACAACUCAUAAACAUAUGAUUUUUCCUGACGUUAGCUCAAAAAUGAGUUUCCACUUGUGGAAAACAAUAAUUUAAAUAAAGGCGGAUUUCCACAUCUGAUUUUGAUCACUUCAUUUGGUUGUUCCGCCAAUGAUCUAGCGCCUUUGAAAAAUAGCACAAAAAUGCACAAAAUUGUUAACACUGUUGAAUAAACAGUCGAGAACAGCAUCUCGCCAUUCAUAUUUAUCAAAUUUACACAAAAAUUUUACUCCUACUUUUGAUUAAAGUCGCCCCUAACUACUUACACCGUUAUUGAAAAGCCUUCGUCAUUACGUCGUGCUUAGGCGCCCAUCAAAAUGUCUGAGUGGAAAUCCGCCGCGCACUUAUUGCUCUUGUUGAGCACGGAUGGUUCUUACGCCCAAGAUCAAAUCGUGCGUUUUUCAUCGUAAAAUUCAAUGAAGUCGCUGACUGACUGCAAUAAGUGGCGAUAAUAUGGCUCCAAUGUCUAUUCAGGAUAUAUUUUCACCAAAGGACCCAGAUUUGGAUGAUAUGCAGCUGGUAAAGCUUCAGUGAUAAAAAUGUUAGCGAAUAGUCUUUAAUCUAUUGACCGGCCAAGGUCACAGCAGGUAGAUUCAGCAAAAGGUGAUAUUGGGAACCAGGCCCGUGCACAGAAAAGGCGACAAGGGAGGGGUUUUACCCAAUUUUAGCAAAGGGUGAAGGAGGCCUUGUGUAUAGAGUAUCGGCAACGGGAGGAGUUUAACCCCCCAAAACCCAUCCGUUGUGCACGGGCUUGUUGGGAACAUAAUAUGCUGCCUGCGCUUCCCCAUCGGUACUGUAGCUAUAUUUUUUUUUUCAACGCGCAUUAUGGACAAUGGCAGGGGCAACUCCCUCCUUUGCUGUACGAUACUAGAUAAACUGUAAAGAGUUGUUGUUCAUAGAUAAGAGCUAGAAUAUAGAUUUCAAUCGAAAUCUGAUUUCCAUUGCGUUUUACUCAUUGUUUUUUUACCACUCAUCGUAGGCAACGUCAAGAGAAAAUUUCCUUCCUCCUCCAUUGUCCAAUGUCAGAUAAACUUCAAUUAGUUACUUUUAGUUAAGAAAGCCUUAAAAAUCAAUUUAUUGCAGUGGAUUAGGUUCAAAAUCUAUUGCAUUCCACUAAUUUCGAUACAAAAUUUCUUCGGGCGUAACAACAAAAGCGAUCGAUUCUAGGUAAUAUCGACCAGGCGUAAUUCUAGUGCUGGCGACCAAGCGGCGUAGCAUGUCGGGCGUAAUGACCAAUGAGUUUUUAUUUGGGCGUAAUUUUCAUUUCAUUCAUUUUCUUCAAGGAAAAACGCUUGUUUGUACUUUUCGACAUAAAAUCACCAAGAGGAUAGUGUUUUCUUCUAAAACAACGAAAAAGAUUGAGUGCACACGCACAAAGUGUUAAA